GACGAACGCUGGCGGCGUGCCUAAUACAUGCAAGUAGAACGCACAGUUUAUACCGUAGCUUGCUACACCAUAAACUGUGAGUUGCGAACGGGUGGGUAACGCGUAGGUAACCUGCCUGGUAGCGGGGGAUAACUAUUGGAAACGAUAGCUAAUACCGCAUAAUAUUAAUUAUUGCAUGAUAAUUGAUUGAAAGAUGCAAUUGCAUCACUACCAGAUGGACCUGCGUUGUAUUAGCUAGUAGGUGAGGUAACGGCUCACCUAGGCGACGAUACAUAGCCGACCUGAGAGGGGGAUCGGCCACACUGGGACUGAGACACGGCCCAGACUCCUACGGGAGGCAGCAGUAGGGAAUCUUCGGCAAUGGACGAAAGUCUGACCGAGCAACGCCGCGUGAGUGAAGAAGGGUUUCGGAUCGUAAAGCUCUGUUGUAAGAGAAGAACGGGUGUGAGAGUGGAAAGUUCACACUGUGACGGUAUCUUACCAGAAAGGGACGGCUAACUACGUG
This 505-nucleotide ribosomal RNA is filed under the name uncultured bacterium. RNAcentral describes it as "partial 16S ribosomal RNA". It matches the Rfam family "Bacterial small subunit ribosomal RNA", at positions 28 to 507 of the family's 1533-position model. The record is from RNAcentral.